GACGAACGCUGGCGGCGUGCCUAACACAUGCAAGUCGAACGGAGAAUUUAGCAAUGAAUUCUUAGUGGCGAACGGGUGAGUAACGCGUAGACAACCUGCCUUUUAGAUGGGGACAACACCGCGAAAGUGGUGCUAAUACCGAAUGUUGCAUUUUGAUCGCAUGAUUGAGAUACUAAAGAUGGCCUCUAUUUAUAAGCUAUCGCUAAAAGAUGGGUCUGCGUCUGAUUUGCUAGUUGGUGAGGUAAUGGCUCACCAAGGCGACGAUCAGUAGCCGGUCUGAGAGGAUGAACGGCCACACUGGGACUGAGACACGGCCCAGACUCCUACGGGAGGCAGCAGUGGGGAAUCUUCCGCAAUGGACGAAAGUCUGACGGAGCAACGCCGCGUGAGUGAAGAAGGUUUUCGGAUCGUAAAACUCUGUUUUCAGGGACGAAUGUGCAGAUUGUGAGUAAUGAUUUGUAAUGACGGUACCUGAGUAGAAAGCCACGGCUAACUACGUGCCAGCCGCCGCGGUAA
Molecule: ribosomal RNA, 516 nt
Filed under: uncultured bacterium
Lineage: Bacteria
Description: partial 16S ribosomal RNA
Rfam family: Bacterial small subunit ribosomal RNA
Source: RNAcentral